CAUUCAUAAUAAGUGUUUUAUGGCACUUUUUAAAUCCAUAUCCACCUUGUGUGCAAUGUCAGUCGAUCUUCUUCAUGGAGAUCGGCCAAACAUCAACCUUAUUUUUUAACUCUUUGUCUGAAAAAUAUUAUGAAUAAACAAUUCAAAAUACAACUUUCAACAACGGAUCUCUUGGCUCUCGCAUCGAUGAAGAACGCAGCGAAAUGCGAUACGUAAUGUGAAUUGCAGAAUUCAGUGAAUCAUCGAAUCUUUGAACGCAUAUUGCGCUCUUUGGUAUUCCGAAGAGCAUGCUUGUUUGAGUAUCAGUAAACACCUCAAAGCUUUUGGAUUUUUUUGAAAGCUUUGGACUUGAGCAAUCCCAACGCCAAUCUUUUUCAGAUCGGCGGCGGGUUGCUUGAAAUGCAGGUGCAGCUGGACUUUCUCCUGAGCUAAAAGCAUACUCAUUUAGUCCCGUCAAACGGAUUAUUACUUUUGCUGCAGCUAACAUAAAGGGAGUUUGACCGUAUUGGCUGACUGAUGCAGGAUUUUACAAGGGUCGGCAACGAUUCUUGUUAAACUCGAUCUCAAAUCAAGUAAGACUACCC
RNAcentral lists this ribosomal RNA (584 nucleotides) under uncultured fungus. RNAcentral describes it as "eukaryotic LSU rRNA". The stretch from base 152 to 305 matches the Rfam family "5.8S ribosomal RNA". Lineage: Eukaryota; Fungi. The record is from RNAcentral.